CAUACAGCGGGCCGCAGAAACAUGCCAUGCCGCGACCGCGACGGCAGCCAGGGGAUCCAUUUUGAAUAGUAAGGAGGGGAUGCGUGGUCAAAAUCUUCGUGAACGCUAAAUCUUGAAGAUCAUCUGUUCCAAGUUCGGAGAAGCGACCCAUUUCGGCGACGCCAUGGACGGGGAUGAUUGUCGCAGGCAGGCUGUUGCCGCGGUCAGCCGUCCCCGACGCUGCCUUUGACUACACCGUUGCUUGCUCCAGGCUGCAUGCCGACGCCUCCCCUCUCAGAUUUUGAUUCGACGGAACGAGACACAUGGCGAAAAGCGGCAGAGCAGCCACGGGAUUGGACGUCGUCCCAGCAGGCUUCGAGAGCCGUGAGCACGGGCAAACCAACGGUGGAGAUCAUUCUCUCACUGCGACUGCGAGUCCUCUGCUCUCUCUCUCUCUCUCCCUCCCUUGGAUCUCUCUACAAAUACCACUCCACCUCGCUUUCGCAAUACACAAACACAACACAAGUGUGUUUCGUUUCCGUCCAGCAGGAAGCUAGCCUCGGCGUCCGACAUGGCCGGCGAGAAGACGGCGUCGUCCGGCGCCACCGAUCUGGUGGAUCCCGCGACGGCGACGGCUACGGCGCAGAAGAAGCCGCGGGGGCGGCCGCUGGGGUCCAAGAACAAGCCGAAGCCGCCGGUGGUGGUGACGCGGGAGAGCGAGGCGGCGAUGCGGCCCGUGGUGCUGGAGCUGGCGGCGGGGUGCGACGUGGUGGGCGCGGUGGCGGCGUUCGCGCGCCGCCGCCGCGUGGGCGUGUCCGUGCUCUGCGGGCGCGGCGCCGUCGCCGCCGUCACGCUGCGCCUGGCCGCGUCCUCCGCCGCGGUCACGCUGCACGGGCGGUUCGAGGUGCUGGCGCUGUCCGGGACCGUGGUGCCGUCGUCGUCGUCGGCGUCGGCGUCCGCGCCGGCGUUCUCGGUGUCGCUGGCCGGGGAGGGCGGGCAGGUGAUCGGCGGGACCCUGGCGGGGGAGAUGACUGCCGCGGAUGGGGUGGUCGUGGUGGCCGCCGUGUUCGGGAGCGCCCAGGUGCACCGGCUGCCCGCCGCUGGCGCGGAGGACGAGGACAGCGGCGGUGGAAGGGAGGAGGGAAUGCGCGCGCAGGUGGCCGUGGGACUGGGUGGCACUGGCACCGGCGGCGGCCUCGUGGUCGUGGGGCGGCAGCACGCGCAGCAGCUGCCAGAGGUGGGUCUGUGGGGCCAGCAGCCGACGCCCGCUCACGUUCGCGGACCGGUCCACGCUCUGCCCCGUUUCUAGAGGCAGUUGGCAGCUGCAUGGCGUCCUUGUGCUUGGCGCGUGACGCUCUUUUGCCCGGACACGGAGACGGCUCCCUCCGUUUUUGGUGGCGGUGCCUUCAGACUGUCUUCAGCGGUUCCCCCUAAAUUUGUCCCCCUAUUUCCCACUCACGUGCCACGUCAGCAAUCUCUCUCCCCCUAUAUCUCCACGCUCUACAGCGGUUCCCCCUAUAACAAUCCUCUAUACCCCACCACACCAAUAUUAUAUACUUUCCUCAUCAACUAACUCAACUACCAUGAAAUCUUAAAAUUAUUUUUAUUAAUUAUUUGCAUAGUACACGGGGC
This 1611-nucleotide unclassified non-coding RNA is filed under the name Zea mays. RNAcentral describes it as "misc RNA Zm00001eb140650". The record is from RNAcentral. Lineage: Eukaryota; Viridiplantae; Streptophyta; Magnoliopsida; Poales; Poaceae.